Molecule: ribosomal RNA, 250 nt
Filed under: uncultured bacterium
Lineage: Bacteria
Description: partial 16S ribosomal RNA
Rfam family: Bacterial small subunit ribosomal RNA
Source: RNAcentral
GACGAACCGAGCGAACGUUGUUCGGAAUCACUGGGCUUAAAGGGCGCGUAGGCGGGCCGCCGCGUCCGGGGUGAAAUCCUCCCGCUCAACGGGAGAACGGCCUCGGAUACGGGCGGCCUGGAGGGGGGUAGGGGCGUGCGGAACUGUGGGUGGAGCGGUGAAAUGCGUUGAUAUCCACAGGAACUCCGGUGGCGAAGGCGGCACGCUGGACCCCACCUGACGCUGAGGCGCGAAAGCCAGGGGAGCGAAC